Transfer RNA from Sclerotinia sclerotiorum, 112 nucleotides. It matches the Rfam family "tRNA". From Rfam's summary of the family: Transfer RNA (tRNA) molecules are approximately 80 nucleotides in length. Their secondary structure includes four short double-helical elements and three loops (D, anti-codon, and T loops). Lineage: Eukaryota; Fungi; Ascomycota; Leotiomycetes; Helotiales; Sclerotiniaceae. The record is from Rfam.
GUCUUCGUGGCUCAGUUGGUUAGAGCGUUGGUCUCAUAUUCUUAUAUGAGGUGGUUGUUAACAAUCCACUUUAGCCAUCCAAAGGUCGUGAGUUCGAGUCUCACCGAGGACA